GGACUACCAGGGUAUCUAAUCCUGUUUGCUACCCACGCUUUCGUGCCUCAGCGUCAGAAAUCGUCCAGAAAGCCGUUUACACCACCGGUGUUCCUCCUGAUAUCUACGCAUUUCACCGCUACACCAGGAAUUCCACUUUCCUCUCCGACCCUCUAGUCCCGCAGUCUAUAGCGCACCCUCCCAGUUAAGCCGGGAGAUUUCACACCAUACUUACAGGACCGCCUACGCACCCUUUACGCCCAGUAACUCCGAACAACGCUUGCUGCCUACGUAUUACCGCGGCUGCUGGCAC
RNAcentral lists this ribosomal RNA (292 nucleotides) under uncultured Acidobacteriota bacterium. RNAcentral's name for it is "uncultured Acidobacteria bacterium partial 16S ribosomal RNA". Lineage: Bacteria; Pseudomonadati; Acidobacteriota. The record is from RNAcentral.